GACGAACGCUGGCGGCGUGCCUAAUACAUGCAAGUCGAGCGAGCGAAACUAACAGAUUUACUUCGGUAAUGACGUUAGGAAAGCGAGCGGCGGAUGGGUGAGUAACACGUGGGGAACCUGCCCCAUAGUCUGGGAUACCACUUGGAAACAGGUGCUAAUACCGGAUAAGAAAGCAGAUCGCAUGAUCAGCUUUUAAAAGGCGGCGUAAGCUGUCGCUAUGGGAUGGCCCCGCGGUGCAUUAGCUAGUUGGUAAGGUAAAGGCUUACCAAGGCGAUGAUGCAUAGCCGAGUUGAGAGACUGAUCGGCCACAUUGGGACUGAGACACGGCCCAAACUCCUACGGGAGGCAGCAGUAGGGAAUCUUCCACAAUGGACGCAAGUCUGAUGGAGCAACGCCGCGUGAGUGAAGAAGGUUUUCGGAUCGUAAAGCUCUGUUGUUGGUGAAGAAGGAUAGAGGUAGUAACUGGCCUUUAUUUGACGGUAAUCAACCAGAAAGUCACGGCUAACUACGUGCCAGCAGCCGCGGUAAUACGUAGGUGGCAAGCGUUGUCCGGAUUUAUUGGGCGUAAAGCGAGCGCAGGCGGAAGAAUAAGUCUGAUGUGAAAGCCCUCGGCUUAACCGAGGAACUGCAUCGGAAACUGUUUUUCUUGAGUGCAGAAGAGGAGAGUGGAACUCCAUGUGUAGCGGUGGAAUGCGUAGAUAUAUGGAAGAACACCAGUGGCGAAAGCGGCUCUCUGGUCUGCAACUGACGCUGAGGCUCGAAAGCAUGGGUUGCGAACAGG
Molecule: ribosomal RNA, 781 nt
Filed under: uncultured Lactobacillus sp.
Lineage: Bacteria; Bacillati; Bacillota; Bacilli; Lactobacillales; Lactobacillaceae
Description: bacterial SSU rRNA
Rfam family: Bacterial small subunit ribosomal RNA
Source: RNAcentral